GCAUAUCAAUAAGCGGAGGAAAAGAAACCAACAGGGAUUGCCUUAGUAGCGGCGAGUGAAGCGGCAAUAGCUCAAAUUUGAAAUCUGGCGUCUUCGGCGUCCGAGUUGUAAUUUGAAGAAGGUAUCUUUGGUUUUGGCUCUUGUCUAUGUUCCUUGGAACAGGACGUCACAGAGGGUGAGAAUCCCGUGCGAUGAGAUGCCCAAUUCCAUGUAAAGUUCCUUCGACGAGUCGAGUUGUUUGGGAAUGCAGCUCUAAGUGGGUGGUAAAUUCCAUCUAAAGCUAAAUAUUGGCGAGAGACCGAUAGCGAACAAGUACUGUGAAGGAAAGAUGAAAAGAACUUUGAAAAGAGAGUGAAAAAGUACGUGAAAUUGUUGAAAGGGAAGGGCUUGAGGUCAGACUUGGUUUUACCAGGCCAGCAUCAGUUUGGGUGGCAGGAUAAGUGCGUAGGAAAGUGGCUCCACUUCGGUGGUGUGUUAUAGCCUGCGUCGAUACUGCCUGCCCAGACUGAGGACUGCGUCUUUGACUAGGAUGCUGGCAUAAUGACCUUAAGCCGCCCGUCUGAAUCUUGGACCAUAUUCGUCUACGUACAUGCUUAGGAUGUUGACAUAAUGGCUUUAAACGACCCGUCUUGAAACACGGACC
Molecule: ribosomal RNA, 643 nt
Filed under: [Candida] sp. HB19-2
Lineage: Eukaryota; Fungi; Ascomycota; Saccharomycetes; Saccharomycetales
Description: eukaryotic LSU rRNA
Rfam family: Eukaryotic large subunit ribosomal RNA
Source: RNAcentral